UACGAAGGGGGCUAGCGUUGUUCGGAAUCACUGGGCGUAAAGCGUCCGUAGGUGGCGAAUCAAGUCUUUUGUCAAAGCGUGCGGCUCAACCGCAUACGGGCAGAGGAAACUGAUUAGCUCGAGUGCGAUAGGGGUCACAGGAAUUCCCAGUGUAGCGGUGAAAUGCGUAGAUAUUGGGAAGAACACCAGCGGCGAAAGCGUGUGACUGGGUCUGCACUGACACUGAGGGACGAAAGCUAGGGGAGCGAAAGGG
Molecule: ribosomal RNA, 253 nt
Filed under: uncultured bacterium
Lineage: Bacteria
Description: partial 16S ribosomal RNA
Rfam family: Bacterial small subunit ribosomal RNA
Source: RNAcentral